GACAGAAAAUGCAAACAUUGUUCGGAAUUACUGGGCGUAAAGCGCGUGUAGGCGGCUUUGCAAGUCGGAUGUGAAAUCCCGCGGCUCAACCGUGGAAGUGCACCCGAAACUGCAUCGCUAGAGUAUCGGAGAGGAAAGUGGAAUGCUUGGUGUAGAGGUGAAAUUCGUAGAUAUCAAGCGGAGCACCGGUGGCGAAGGCGGCUUUCUGGACGAUUACUGACGCUGAGACGCGAAAGCGUGGAUAGCAAACAGG
Molecule: ribosomal RNA, 253 nt
Filed under: uncultured bacterium
Lineage: Bacteria
Description: partial 16S ribosomal RNA
Rfam family: Bacterial small subunit ribosomal RNA
Source: RNAcentral